ACCUACUUCAAUCAAAGAAACUAAGAAUGUUCAUAGUAAUUUGAAAAGUAUCUCAUGCUUGAUGCUUAUACACUUGCAUACACAUCCCUCCUCCUAUUCCUCCUCUCGUCUCCCACAAUCUGAUUUGUGUGUGCAUUUAUUUUUGUAGGUUCGUGAAGAGGCCAAUCUGGUGUUGUGAAAGAAGGGGGCUGUCCAUGGAGAAGAUCCCGCGGCGAGCUCCUCAGGGUAGGUUAUCCCACAGAUCUCCUCAAUUGGGAUGUGAAGAAGCAGAACUUCUGUUUGUUCGGGAGCUGCUUUAUUAUAUCAAAUGCACCAGAUACUUAUGAUUUCUCUUAUGAUCUUGUGGCUGGGCUAGAGAAAAAACAGAGUUGCAUAUGAUUUCUAGGUACUAGUAGUCUAAAAUGUUGGCCUAUCUAGUGUACUGUAGGAACCUGUUGUAAUCCCUUCAUAUAUACUGCAUGCUCACUUUGGAUAGAAUUGAAGUGAGAUAUAAUUGGAGUGAGCAGAUCACUAUAGGACUAAGGAAAAAUCAAAAAGUAUGUGUAGGAAAAUAUCAUCGUUCUUGCUCACUUUGCAAAAAUGACGAGUACUAGAAAUUGCCCCCUUUCACUAAUAUUUGCUGUUUGCUGAUGGUUAUACGUCUUUUGCUUGAUCUAUUGUGAUUCAUGCACACAGGUUGGCUAGAAAUAGCCCUGGUUAUAGAUAUUUUUAUUAUUUUAUACAUUAAUGUAUGCUGUUAUUAUUUGUAUGUGUGAUGCUUUCGGCCUGUUUUACUGUUUCCUCCUCGAUUGAUCUAUUCAUGUAAUGUUCUGUUCUUGUAGGAAGGCAAGUUGUCGCACCUGGAGAACUUGCCCAUCAAAGGGAGCAAUGAAGACAUUGCUAGGACAGUACCAAAUGUGCUCCUACGUGUUGAACAAUGUUAUGUAGUAGUGAGAUAAGGCAAAUUAUGUAGACAUUGUUAGGACAGUACCAGAUGUGCU
Molecule: long non-coding RNA, 980 nt
Filed under: Triticum aestivum (bread wheat)
Lineage: Eukaryota; Viridiplantae; Streptophyta; Magnoliopsida; Poales; Poaceae
Description: long non-coding RNA (TAES_LNC002620)
Source: RNAcentral